UACGGAGGAUGCAAGCGUUAUCCGGAGUGACUGGGCGUAAAGAGUUGCGUAGGUGGUUUGUCAAGCGAAUAGUGAAACCUGGUGGCUCAACCAUACAGACUAUUAUUCGAACUGACAGACUCGAGAGUGGUAGAGGUAGCUGGAAUUUCUAGUGUAGGAGUGAAAUCCGUAGAUAUUAGAAGGAACACCAAUGGCGUAGGCAGGCUACUGGACCAUUUCUGACACUAAGGCACGAAAGCGUGGGGAGCGAACCGG
RNAcentral lists this ribosomal RNA (255 nucleotides) under uncultured bacterium. Its description in RNAcentral is "partial 16S ribosomal RNA". It matches the Rfam family "Bacterial small subunit ribosomal RNA", at positions 524 to 776 of the family's 1533-position model. The record is from RNAcentral.